This is an RNA transcript of Glossina fuscipes, 1177 nucleotides long. It is a transcript of the gene named N-alpha-acetyltransferase 20, with no coding region annotated. The record is from RefSeq and is a predicted model, not a curated record. The transcript has 6 exons. Lineage: Eukaryota; Metazoa; Arthropoda; Insecta; Diptera; Glossinidae.
AAGGCAAACAAAUAUUUAAGGUGUGAAUUUAAUAAAAAUUUUACGUUAAAAUUUCAGAAAAAAAAAGGAAAAAUUAUGACUACCCUACGGCCAUUUACUUGUGAUGAUUUAUUUAAGUUUAAUAAUGUCAAUUUCGAUCCCCUUACAGAAACAUAUGGUUUGUCAUUUUAUACACAAUACUUGGCCAGAUGGCCGGAGUACUUUCAAUUAGCGGAAUCGCCCAGCGGCCAAAUUAUGGGUUAUAUCAUGGGCAAAGUUGAAGGUCAUAUGGAAAAUUGGCAUGGUCAUGUUACUGCCUUAACCGUUUCUCCAGAUUAUCGCCGCUUAGGGUUGGCCGGACUAUUAAUGAAUUUCUUGGAAGAUAUCUCAGAAAAGAAACGGGCGUAUUUUGUGGAUCUAUUUGUGCGUAAAAGUAAUCAAGUGGCUAUUAAUAUGUACAAAAAUUUGGGUUAUAUUAUUUAUCGUACAAUAUUGGACUAUUAUUCGGGCGAAAAUGAUGAAGAUGCGUAUGAUAUGCGUAAGGCUUUGUCCCGUGAUGCGGAGAAAAAGUCGAUUAUACCGUACACACAGCCAGUACGCCUGGAAGAUUUAGAUAUGAAUUGAUAUUAAAUGUUUCGUUUGUUUUCCUUUUAACUUUUCGCUCACUCAUCAGACUAUACUUUAAUAUGUGCUUCCCCAUAUGAAAAUUCUUCUCUUUUUGUUUUAAUAAUAUGACUUUGAGGCUAUGUUCCUAACAAUUAUUAAUACAUUGUAUAUUUGUUUAUUUAAAUGUAUGUAAAUUGUUUGUUUGUGGUUUUGCAAUUUUACCAUAAUAUUAAAAGAUAUAUUCCACUAUGCCCCUCUUUCCCUACCUUUUUUGCUUGACCAAUUGAGCUCGUAUUGCAUUAUUAUAUUGUUAUUAAUAUAACAAUUCUCUCUUUAUAACUCAUGCUAUGUUUUCCACACAUCCCGUAUGCGAAAUAAGUAAAAGAUAACCAUACGUGAAUUACGAGAAAAUGCAAAUUGACGCGUUACAAAUUUUCUUUAGUUUACUUCCGACUUGACAAUAUUUUGAAAAGAAACUUUUUUAAUAGAGAAGAGAUGACUGAAAUUCCCAUUAAAUCCGAUAAGUUGACCACAUAACAAUCUUGCUGUAUUUGGGUUAAACUGAAGCAAUAGGAUGAAGUAUUGCGGUAUG